GGCUGUAACUAUAACGGUCCCAAGGUAGCAAAUUUCCUUGUCGUCUAAAUAACGACUUGCAUGAAAGAUAGAACGAUUCGAUAGCUCUCUUGCAUAGAUGUGGUGGUAAAAUAUUAGGUAGUGUGAAGAUACUCUAACAACGUUAUAGGACAAAAAGACCCUGUGAACCUUUAUAGGGAUAAAAUUUAGUAGAGGUUCUAUAUUAACAUAUCGCUUCGGCUAGGAUGGAAAAAGUUUGAGAUACCAUUCAUUGAGAAUAGAAUAAGAUAAAUCAGUUAAUUAUUAAUAAUCACUUUUAUAGUGUCGUAUAUUUGUCAAAUGUUAGAUGGGCUAUUUAAUUGGGGCGAUAACCUUCUUUAAUCAAACAAAAGGUGAACAAAGCUAUUGAUACGGGCUUUGUUAAAGGACGAGUAAGUACAAAGAUAGAUCUGUGGCUUAAUGGUAUUCCUUUGUUUGAUCCAGUAUUUAAAUGGUAUCUUAGUGACCUUAAAAUUAAUUUAUCAAAUAAAAGCUACUCAAGGGAUAACAGGCUUAAUUAAAAUUAGAGCUCACAUUAAAUUUGCCAGUUUGGCACCUCGAUGUCGGCUUAUCUUUUCAAAAAUCUGUAUUAAGAUUAUUGGUGGGAGUGCUCAUCCCAUAAUAAGGUACCUGAGCUGGGUUCAAUACGAUGG
RNAcentral lists this ribosomal RNA (671 nucleotides) under Heterocapsa sp. ex Unidentified non-clionaid. Its description in RNAcentral is "bacterial LSU rRNA". It matches the Rfam family "Bacterial large subunit ribosomal RNA", at positions 1932 to 2622 of the family's 2925-position model. Lineage: Eukaryota; Dinophyceae; Peridiniales; Heterocapsaceae. The record is from RNAcentral.